Molecule: ribosomal RNA, 462 nt
Filed under: Streptococcus mitis
Lineage: Bacteria; Bacillati; Bacillota; Bacilli; Lactobacillales; Streptococcaceae
Description: bacterial SSU rRNA
Rfam family: Bacterial small subunit ribosomal RNA
Source: RNAcentral
GACGAACGCUGGCGGCGUGCCUAAUACAUGCAAGUAGAACGCUGAAGGAGGAGCUUGCUUCUCUGGAUGAGUUGCGAACGGGUGAGUAACGCGUAGGUAACCUGCCUGGUAGCGGGGGAUAACUAUUGGAAACGAUAGCUAAUACCGCAUAACAGUAGAUGUUGCAUGACAUUUACUUAAAAGGUGCAAUUGCAUCACUACCAGAUGGACCUGCGUUGUAUUAGCUAGUUGGUGGGGUAACGGCUCACCAAGGCGACGAUACAUAGCCGACCUGAGAGGGUGAUCGGCCACACUGGGACUGAGACACGGCCCAGACUCCUACGGGAGGCAGCAGUAGGGAAUCUUCGGCAAUGGACGGAAGUCUGACCGAGCAACGCCGCGUGAGUGAAGAAGGUUUUCGGAUCGUAAAGCUCUGUUGUAAGAGAAGAACGGGUGUGAGAGUGGAAAGUUCACACUGUGACG